Molecule: long non-coding RNA, 753 nt
Organism: Gordionus sp. m RMFG-2023
Lineage: Eukaryota; Metazoa; Nematomorpha; Gordioida; Chordodea; Parachordodidae
Exons: 4
Source: RefSeq, a predicted model, not a curated record
AAAUCAGCAUGGAAAAAUCUAAGAGAUUGCUUUAUGAGGGAAUAUAAAAAAUAGAGCCAGGGAUUCAGUAUACCAAUUUGAAAAAAUCAAAUCUUGUUAUAUCUAAAAUUGCUUAAUCAAAUAUUGUUAGAGCAAUGUAUGAGCAAAUGAGUGGUAAUGAAAAUUAUUAAUAUGAAGAUGCCAUUGAAAUCCCCUGCAUAGAGACAAGUAGUGAAGCUACAAUUUUAAGGAAUGAUUUAAAUGACCAAAUUUAUCUUGCAAAAAAUUAAUUAAAAAGAGGGAUAUUGAUCAAGAUCUAUUUGAGCAAAUACUUGAAAUAGAAAAAAUUAAAGGAAGAUUAUCUACAAAUUCUUGGAUCAAUGCCAUGCAUGAGCAAACCCUUGCAAAAAGACGAGAAGGGGGAAAGAAAAAGCUUAUUAAAAUUAUUUUUGAUAUACUCUUUAAUUUUGACAGUGAUCAAGAAUAAUGAAAAAUAUUAUUGUUAUAAUGGUAUUUUUGUUGUUUAUUUUUUCGUGAAAUUAUUUUAUAUUUUUGUUGGCGCGGAUUAAUAUUAUAACAUAUGCGGAAUUAUUUGUUUUGAAAAAAGAGAAGACUCAUGGUGAGUCGAGGAUAUAUUUUUUUGUUGGAAAAUAUAAUUUGUAAUUUAGAUAUAUUUUAAUUUUUGGAAUAAUUUUUAAUUUUUUUUGAAAUAGUAAUUUUAAUUUUUUUAUAAUUUUGUUAAAAAUAUAAUUUUUGUAUAAAUAGACUAAUUAA